CCUACGGGAGGCAGCAGUGAGGAAUAUUGGUCAAUGGACGAGAGUCUGAACCAGCCAAGUAGCGUGAAGGAUGACUGCCCUAUGGGUUGUAAACUUCUUUUAUAUGGGAAUAAAACGUUCCACGUGUGGGAUUUUGUAUGUACCAUAUGAAUAAGGAUCGGCUAACUCCGUGCCAGCAGCCGCGGUAAUACGGAGGAUCCGAGCGUUAUCCGGAUUUAUUGGGUUUAAAGGGAGCGUAGGUGGAUUGUUAAGUCAGUUGUGAAAGUUUGCGGCUCAACCGUAAAAUUGCAGUUGAAACUGGCAGUCUUGAGUACAGUAGAGGUGGGCGGAAUUUGUGGUGUAGCGGUGAAAUGCUUAGAUAUCACGAAGAACUCCGAUUGCGAAGGCAGUUCACUGGACUGCAACUGACACUGAGGCUCGAAAGUGUGGGUAUCAAACAGGAUUAGAUACCCCUGUAGUC
RNAcentral lists this ribosomal RNA (460 nucleotides) under uncultured bacterium. RNAcentral's name for it is "partial 16S ribosomal RNA". It matches the Rfam family "Bacterial small subunit ribosomal RNA", at positions 338 to 795 of the family's 1533-position model. The record is from RNAcentral.